This 425-nucleotide ribosomal RNA is filed under the name crenarchaeote SCGC AAA008-E18. RNAcentral's name for it is "SSU rRNA". It matches the Rfam family "Archaeal small subunit ribosomal RNA", at positions 464 to 889 of the family's 1478-position model. Lineage: Archaea; Thermoproteati; Thermoproteota. RNAcentral also lists the same sequence under 1 other name. The record is from RNAcentral.
GCCGCGGUAAAACCAGCACCUCAAGUGGUCAGGAGGAUUAUUGGGCCUAAAGCAUCCGUAGCCGGCUCUGUAAGUUUUCGGUUAAAUCCAUGUGCUCAACGCAUGGGCUGCCGAAAAUACUGCAUAGCUAGGGAGUGGGAGAGGUAGACGGUACUCGGUAGGAAGGGGUAAAAUCCUUUGAUCUAUCGAUGACCACCUGUGGCGAAGGCGGUCUACCAGAACACGUUCGACGGUGAGGGAUGAAAGCUGGGGGAGCAAACCGGAUUAGAUACCCGGGUAGUCCCAGCUGUAAACGAUGCAGACUCGAUGAUGCAUUGGCAUAUAGCCAGUGCAGUGUCGCAGGGAAGCCGUUAAGUCUGCCGCCUGGGAAGUACGUACGCAAGUAUGAAACUUAAAGGAAUUGGCGGGGGAGCACGGUCAUACUU